RNAcentral lists this long non-coding RNA (255 nucleotides) under Ananas comosus (pineapple). RNAcentral's name for it is "long non-coding RNA (ACOM_LNC040124)". Lineage: Eukaryota; Viridiplantae; Streptophyta; Magnoliopsida; Poales; Bromeliaceae. The record is from RNAcentral.
CUCUUUUACUUGCACCAUUACACCUUAACCCCUCUCAUUUGCACAAUUACAUCUUAGCCCCUCUCAUUUGCACAAUUACAUCUUAGCCCCUCUCAUUUGCACAAUUACAUCUUAGCCCCUCUCAUUUGCACAAUUUUAUACAUUUUUAUUUACUCUUAUUUCAAUAUUAAAAUUCGGUACACUACAUCCUCCCCUCCUUAAAAGAAGUUUCGUCCUCGAAACUUAAAAUCAUACCUCAACUAGACUCGGGGAAGA